GACAAGGUGGCUGAGCGGUUAAGGCAAUGGGCUCUUAAUCUGUUGCAUUUUGCCUGUAUGGGUUCAAAUCCCAUCCUUAUUG
This 82-nucleotide transfer RNA is filed under the name Alligator mississippiensis (American alligator). It matches the Rfam family "tRNA". Rfam says of the family: Transfer RNA (tRNA) molecules are approximately 80 nucleotides in length. The record is from Rfam by way of RNAcentral. Lineage: Eukaryota; Metazoa; Chordata; Crocodylia; Alligatoridae.